UUUGCUAGAGCCAAAUCUUUUGUAAAGCAGGGGAAGGGAAACCACAGGUCUUAAAUGAAGAUAGCUGGGUUGCCAUAA
This 78-nucleotide non-coding RNA is filed under the name unclassified sequences. RNAcentral's name for it is "c-di-GMP sequence". It matches the Rfam family "c-di-GMP-I-GGC riboswitch aptamer". The record is from Rfam by way of RNAcentral.